GUGCUUCAGCAGCAUAUAUACCAAAAUUGGAAUGAUGCACAGAAGAUUAGAAUCCCUGUGCAAGGAUGAUACCCAAAUCCGUGAAAGCCUUCCAUAUUAAA
This 101-nucleotide small nuclear RNA is filed under the name Mus pahari (shrew mouse). The record is from RNAcentral. Lineage: Eukaryota; Metazoa; Chordata; Mammalia; Rodentia; Muridae.